GAACAAAAGUACGAAAUCUAUAUCAAGAUUUUCAAUUAGUCGAAAAACGUUCCAAUGACUGUAAAUUAAAUAGGGAUUGUCCUCACGGAUACGCGUGCUAUCCUAGCAUAAACCCACACAGAUGUUAUACUUAUAUCGUUACCCUUAAGACAAACAAGUAGGCUUGAAUCUAUAACGAGAACUGGAAAUCCAAGCUGAUAUCUGCAAGGAAAAAUCUAGCAAUUCUAAUUUUGCUAUAACUGUAACUUGUAACCUAANAAUAAAUAUACUCUUGCAAUAAAUUGU
Molecule: long non-coding RNA, 285 nt
Filed under: Actinia tenebrosa (Australian red waratah sea anemone)
Lineage: Eukaryota; Metazoa; Cnidaria; Anthozoa; Actiniaria; Actiniidae
Description: uncharacterized LOC116286826, transcript variant X1
Source: RNAcentral